CAGAGCCCAGCACAUGGCCAUUCAUCCAAAGCAACCUCUUACACUUGGUUGAUUGGUGAGUUGGAGGCUCCACUGGCCCCUGUCAGACUUGAGACCUCACACCUGCCCACCACAGCCAGUUUCCCACACAGCCUGGGACUGACUGGGUGAUGGAGAAGGAUCCUUACCAUGGAAUCUUAUCCAGGUCCAGCCCCAGGGUUGCAAAGAUUGAUGCCUGGAAGCUGGGACUCCAGCCCAAGCUGGGGGAGGAUCCUUUCCCCUCUGGGCUCCUGUGUUUCCACCUAAGGCCCAGUUCACCCAUGAGCCAGGCAUCUGCUGGCAGAUGAGAACAAGACAUGGUCUCAGGAAGUCUGCAGGCAGACCCCCGGCCUUCCAGGAUGAGACCUGAGGCCAUGCCGCAUUCCUGGCCUGGCCAUGUCUGUUCAUAGAAUUGCCUCCACGUUGGCCAGCCCCACGCCUCCAGACUCUAUGUCUACACAGCUCACCUUGGUAAUCUCGGGGCCAGAGGACAGAAGCAGCUUAUGUUGGGAAGGGGCAUCUGAGAAGGAGGAGCAGGUCUGUUUGUCAAGAAUCCAAGCACGCCUGUGCUCUGUGGCCACAGGGAGAGGAGGGGCCGCUUUUAAAUACAAGCCUACUCCUGUCGUUGGACCACAACAAAGACCCACUGGACAGAAGCACAUGAGAGACUAGAGCGCAAUGGUUCGAUCUUGGCUCACUGCAACUUCCACCUCCCGAGUUCAAGCGAUUCUCCUGACAGAAGUCCACUCAAGCCAGCCAUUGUAGCUAGCAUCGGGGCUCCAGCC
RNAcentral lists this non-coding RNA (803 nucleotides) under Pongo abelii (Sumatran orangutan). Lineage: Eukaryota; Metazoa; Chordata; Mammalia; Primates; Hominidae. The record is from RNAcentral.